Molecule: long non-coding RNA, 1641 nt
Organism: Cygnus olor (mute swan)
Lineage: Eukaryota; Metazoa; Chordata; Aves; Anseriformes; Anatidae
Exons: 2
Source: RefSeq, a predicted model, not a curated record
CCCGAGGGCUUAUGAACCACUGCAGUCUGACAGUGCUGACCUCUUGAUCAUCUUGCUGUAAAACCUCAAGGUUCGAGUCUCUUGGGGAAAAUUGGCUCAGUGUUGGGCUGAGUGACAGCAUCAAGGAAGCGAUCAUGAUGAACAUGUCAUCGACACCAACACCUGCAAGAAAAAGAGUUAACCCUGCAUUGCACAAGGCAGCUUCCCCUGACACCCAGCAAAAGCACAAAAUAAACAGCAUUUAAGGCUACAUGGAAUUAAAAAAAAUAAUAAAAGAGAGUGGGCUACUAGCAUUGCUUUAGUGCUGAUGCAAGUUAAACAUACAGGAAAACACGUCCUUUGUAUGCAGAUGGCUCUGUUACCUUUCAAAAACUCAUAGUGACUGGAUGGAUUGUUGAUCUCUCACCCUGUUCUGCUGAAGGACUGAGCACUCCUAGUUCAUCGCCUGACAAGUGUUUUGUGUCUGUUGUCCAUGUGCCCACAGAUGCAAAUUCCAGAUUUAUACAUCGUUUAUUCUGAUGCUUUACUAUUCUUAUCAGUAGAAGCAUCUCCUACUGUCCCUGGCAUCUCUUCACCACUGCAACAAAUUAGACCAAUAAUUUCUUGCUCUGUCUUCAGCAGACAGUGAGAAGCUGGAAGAAGUCCCAAGCACUUCAAGAGGUACGAAGAAUACACAGCAAGUUUGUUACACUGGCAAAAUACUUAUUUAAUUGCUUUUAGAAUUACAGCAAGUCAAUGAACAAAGCACUCCACUUGAGAGAAAAAAAAAAAGCCCGAAAGGACUGCAUGAAUAGAACAUGGAGAGUAACUGGUUAAGUGGUAGAAACAGAUCUAAGUGGAGGGAAGAAGGAUAGGAAAUGUUGGGCUAGACAAUAAGCAGAGAAGAGCAUAAUGAGCCAAGGAUGGCAAGAACACAUUAGCAAGAAAGACAAACGGACAAGUGCCAGUUCAUGAAUAAAGGCAGCUUAGUGGCAGGUGGCUGAAAGUACUUUGAUCUUCCCUGAACCUCUCCUAGAAACUGCAUUCUGCAAAGCAUGGUACAGCUGAAUGUAACAGCUGGUGUAUUUAGAUAAACCAAACUUGGAGUUCCCCACUAUGUCCGGGUUUAAAAAAAUCAGAUCUCUCUGCUGUGAGCAAGAUAGUGUCCAGGAAAGAGGUGUGCUGGGGCUGUAUCCUCUCUUUGAUAGUCUGUUUGCACGUUUAAAUCAUCCUGUUAGAAGGCAGCAUGAUAACAGUCCGCAAAUUAAUAAAGGAUUGAUAAAAAAAAUCAAUUACCUUUGAUAUAUAUGAAAGAACAAGAAAUGAUCAACUUAACGCUAUCAGGGACACCUCAAAAGUUAUUGAGAUAAUCGUUAAAAACACCUUCCUGUUUAAUUUUCAAUAAGUUCUUAAAAACAUUUGGCAGGAGUGGUUUACUUAGAUCCUACCUUGCAGCAGGGAGUGUGCCCUCACGACGUUCCCUCUAGGCCCCAACUUCUUAUUCUGAUGAAAUAGAUUCCUUCAAAAAGCAGCUUCUGGCAUAUAGUAAUUAAAUAGCGAUCUCAGCGUUCAGCCCUCCCGCUUGUGCCUAUGUAUACUUCUGACAUUGUGAAGGAAAGCUUGAAACAUAACCCAAAUAAACCCUAAAAACAAGUGGCUGUG